Molecule: unclassified non-coding RNA, 348 nt
Filed under: uncultured fungus
Lineage: Eukaryota; Fungi
Description: sequence contains ITS1
Rfam family: 5.8S ribosomal RNA (bases 1-101)
Source: RNAcentral
AAAGUGCGACAAGUGUCAUGACUUGCAGAUACCCGAGAGCUGACAAAUUUCUGAAUGCAAAUUGCAGCCAAGUUAACCUGGCUAUACAAUGCAGAGAGUACUUCGCGUAUGCGCUUACUCUGGGGUUGAGCACAACUUCGGUUGUCACUUCUGGGACCUGCGUGAUUGAGCAAUGUUGACGUUGGCACACAGACACGCAUUCGUGUGUGUAUGUGUAUCAUCUGUCCAAGCUCUCCCACGUUAAAGUCAGAAAACCAUCGAGUUUUCCUGAACUAUCUGAGAAAAAGAGUUUUAUCUCUUACAUCUCACUUCUCACCUCUGCAUUGUAGGAGAACCCGCUGAACUUAA